RNAcentral lists this ribosomal RNA (365 nucleotides) under uncultured bacterium. Its description in RNAcentral is "bacterial SSU rRNA". It matches the Rfam family "Bacterial small subunit ribosomal RNA", at positions 29 to 422 of the family's 1533-position model. The record is from RNAcentral.
AACGAACGCUGGCGGCAUGCCUAACACAUGCAAGUCGAACGAGACCUUCGGGUCUAGUGGCGCACGGGUGCGUAACACGUGGGAAUUUGCCUCGGGGUAUGGAAUAAACUCAGGGAAACUUGAGCUAAUACCAUAUAAUGUCUUCGGACCAAAGAUUUAUCGCCCUGAGAUAAGCCCGCGUAGGAUUAGCUAGUUGGUGGGGUAAAGGCUCACCAAGGCGACGAUCCUUAGCUGGUCUGAGAGGAUGAUCAGCCACACUGGGACUGAGACACGGCCCAGACUCCUACGGAGGCAGCAGUGGGAAUAUUGGACAAUGGGCGAAAGCCUGAUCCAGCAAUGCCGCGUGAGUGAUGAAGGCCUUCGGA